UGGGGAAUUUUGGACAAUGGGCGAAAGCCUGAUCCAGCAAUGCCGCGUGUGUGAAGAAGGCCUUCGGGUUGUAAAGCACUUUUGUCCGGAAAGAAAUCCUUGGCUCUAAUACAGUCGGGGGAUGACGGUACCGGAAGAAUAAGCACCGGCUAACUACGUGCCAGCAGCCGCGGUAAUACGUAGGGUGCAAGCGUUAAUCGGAAUUACUGGGCGUAAAGCGUGCGCAGGCGGUUUGCUAAGACCGAUGUGAAAUCCCCGGGCUCAACCUGGGAACUGCAUUGGUGACUGGCAGGCUAGAGUAUGGCAGAGGGGGGUAGAAUUCCACGUGUAGCAGUGAAAUGCGUAGAGAUGUGGAGAAUACCGAUGGCGAAGGCAGCCCCUGGGCCAAUACUGACGCUCAUGCACGAAAGCGUGGGGAGCAAACAGGAUUAGAUACCCUGGUAGUCCGCGCCCUAAACGAUGUCAACUAGUUGUGGGGAUUCAUUUCCUUAGUAACGUAGCUAACGCGUGAAGUUGACCGCCUGGGGAGUACGGUCGCAAGAUUAAAACUUAAAGGAAUUGACGGGGUCAUAGCUGUUUCCU
This 582-nucleotide ribosomal RNA is filed under the name uncultured bacterium. RNAcentral describes it as "partial 16S ribosomal RNA". It matches the Rfam family "Bacterial small subunit ribosomal RNA", at positions 355 to 1375 of the family's 1533-position model. The record is from RNAcentral.